This 498-nucleotide ribosomal RNA is filed under the name Escherichia coli. Its description in RNAcentral is "bacterial LSU rRNA". It matches the Rfam family "Bacterial large subunit ribosomal RNA", at positions 711 to 1207 of the family's 2925-position model. The record is from RNAcentral. RNAcentral also lists the same sequence under 1 other name. Lineage: Bacteria; Pseudomonadati; Pseudomonadota; Gammaproteobacteria; Enterobacterales; Enterobacteriaceae.
AGACCCGAAACCCGGUGAUCUAGCCAUGGGCAGGUUGAAGGUUGGGUAACACUAACUGGAGGACCGAACCGACUAAUGUUGAAAAAUUAGCGGAUGACUUGUGGCUGGGGGUGAAAGGCCAAUCAAACCGGGAGAUAGCUGGUUCUCCCCGAAAGCUAUUUAGGUAGCGCCUCGUGAAUUCAUCUCCGGGGGUAGAGCACUGUUUCGGCAAGGGGGUCAUCCCGACUUACCAACCCGAUGCAAACUGCGAAUACCGGAGAAUGUUAUCACGGGAGACACACGGCGGGUGCUAACGUCCGUCGUGAAGAGGGAAACAACCCAGACCGCCAGCUAAGGUCCCAAAGUCAUGGUUAAGUGGGAAACGAUGUGGGAAGGCCCAGACAGCCAGGAUGUUGGCUUAGAAGCAGCCAUCAUUUAAAGAAAGCGUAAUAGCUCACUGGUCGAGUCGGCCUGCGCGGAAGAUGUAACGGGGCUAAACCAUGCACCGAAGCUGCGGCA